Molecule: ribosomal RNA, 463 nt
Filed under: uncultured bacterium
Lineage: Bacteria
Description: partial 16S ribosomal RNA
Rfam family: Bacterial small subunit ribosomal RNA
Source: RNAcentral
GAUGAACGCUGACAGAAUGCCUAACACAUGCAAGUCUUUGGCGAAGCUGUGCUUGCACAGCCUAGUCAAGGCGGACGGGUGAGUAACGCGUAAGGAACUUGCCCUGCAGUCAGGGAUAACAGACGGAAACGACUGAUAAGACCUGGUAAAGUCAGGCGGACUCAUGUCCAGCCUGAUGAAAAGAGAUGCUGCAGGAGAGCCUUGGGUCGUAUUAGCUUGUUGUUGGGGUAACGGCCCACCAAGGCGAUGAUAGGUAGCCGGCCUGAGAGGGUGCACGGCCACAAGGGGUAUGAGAUGCAGCCGUUGGUCCUAUGGGAGGAUGCAGUGAAGAAUAAUGGAGCAAGGGGGCGAGCGUGAAGAAGGAAUUCUGUGUGCACAACGAAGGUUUUCGGGUUGAAAAGUGCUUUGAGCAGAGAAGAAAAAAAUGACGGUACCUGCAGAAGAAGCGACGGCUAAAUACGUG